AACGAACGCUGGCGGCGUGCCUAAUACAUGCAAGUCGAGCGAACGGACGAGAAGCUUGCUUUUCUGAUGUUAGCGGCGGACGGGUGAGUAACACGUGGAUAACCUACCUAUAAGACUGGGAUAACUUCGGGAAACCGGAGCUAAUACCGGAUAAUAUUUUGAACCGCAUGGUUCAAAAGUGAAAGACGGUCUUGCUGUCACUUAUAGAUGGAUCCGCGCUGCAUUAGCUAGUUGGUAAGGUAACGGCUUACCAAGGCAACGAUGCAUAGCCGACCUGAGAGGGUGAUCGGCCACACUGGAACUGAGACACGGUCCAGACUCCUACGGGAGGCAGCAGUAGGGAAUCUUCCGCAAUGGGCGAAAGCCUGACGGAGCAACGCCGCGUGAGUGAUGAAGGUCUUCGGAUCGUAAAACUCUGUUAUUAGGGAAGAACAUAUGUGUAAGUAACUGUGCACAUCUUGACGGUACCUAAUCAGAAAGCCACGGCUAACUACGUG
Molecule: ribosomal RNA, 497 nt
Filed under: uncultured bacterium
Lineage: Bacteria
Description: partial 16S ribosomal RNA
Rfam family: Bacterial small subunit ribosomal RNA
Source: RNAcentral